Molecule: ribosomal RNA, 862 nt
Filed under: uncultured bacterium
Lineage: Bacteria
Description: bacterial SSU rRNA
Rfam family: Bacterial small subunit ribosomal RNA
Source: RNAcentral
UAGGUCCCGAGCGUUGUCCGGAUUUAUUGGGNGUAAAGCGAGCGCAGGCGGUUAGAUAAGUCUGAAGCUAAAGGCUGUGGCUUAACCAUAGUACGCUUUGGAAACUGUUUAACUUGAGUGCAGAAGGGGAGAGUGGAAUUCCAUGUGUAGCGGUGAAAUGCGUAGAUAUAUGGAGGAACACCGGUGGCGAAAGCGGCUCUCUGGUCUGUAACUGACGCUGAGGCUCGAAAGCGUGGGGAGCGAACAGGAUUAGAUACCCUGGUAGUNCACGCCGUAAACGAUGAGUGCUAGGUGUUAGGCCCUUUCCGGGGCUUAGUGCCGCAGCUAACGCAUUAAGCACUCCGCCUGGGGAGUACGACCGCAAGGUUGAAACUCAAAGGAAUUGACGGGGGCCCGCACAAGCGGUGGAGCAUGUGGUUUAAUUCGAAGCAACGCGAAGAACCUUACCAGGUCUUGACAUCCCGAUGUCCGCUCUAGAGAUAGAGUUUUACUUCGGUACAUCGGUGACAGGUGGUGCAUGGUUGUCGUCAGCUCGUGUCGUGAGAUGUUGGGUUAAGUCCCGCAACGAGCGCAACCCUUAUUGUUAGUUGCCAUCAUUCAGUUGGGCACUCUAGCGAGACUGCCGGUAAUAAACCGGAGGAAGGUGGGGAUGACGUCAAAUCAUCAUGCCCCUUAUGACCUGGGCUACACACGUGCUACAAUGGCUGGUACAACGAGUCGCAAGUCGGUGACGGCAAGCUAAUCUCUUAAAGCCAGUCUCAGUUCGGAUUGUAGGCUGCAACUCGCCUACAUGAAGUCGGAAUCGCUAGUAAUCGCGGAUCAGCACGCCGCGGUGAAUACGUUCCCGGGCCUUGUACACACC